CUCCAAACCGACGCCUGAAGGCGUCUCCCCAUGUCAUAUAUAUACUGUAAACAUGAUCAAUAAAGGAUGCUGUUGAAUCAUUUGUUGUCUCUUCGAUUGUCUCUCUCGAUUGUCUAUCGAUUAGUUCCAAUACGUUAUCAGCAUGCUCCUAGCCAAGAGCGAUUUGGCCGAGAGAAAGCAACCGGAGUUGGUGUCCUCGAUGACUGAAGCGCGCGAUGCAGCCCUCGCGCCGUCGUCUCCGGCCGCAACAGGAAGUGAACGAGAGAAUGAAGAACAAGGGCAUUGGCAUACGUUGAUCCAAAUUUCUCUUUAUAGAACGUGAAUCAACAAAAGGUACGAUGCCUCACUUCAUUACCAUCUUCGCUGGACUGGUGGUGGCGCUCAUCGCCAUCUUGCCAUCAGCGUCUGGCCUCGACCCCGCGCUAGACUGGGCGACCGGAACCACCGGCUUCGCCUCCCGCGAUGGAAACGCGCAUCCGCGCAGAUCGGCGGCGCCGGCCCUCUAUAGGGUCGCCCUCCGGCAUGCGCGUCAUGAGCGGCUCCUCCGACGCCGCAGUCGUCGAUGUUGAUGCAGUCGCGCCAGGCGCCCCCGCCACCCGGCCGCGCCCGCGCCACACCCGUGGCCGGGCCCCUGCGCCAGGCCCUGGCCGCCCUCGCGCGCGCCCGCCCUGUGCCAGGCCUCGCCAGGCCCGCGCCGCGACGGCGCCCUCGCCGCACACAGGCACUCGUCGGCGCGUCGUGGCCUCCGCCUUCACAGCGUCUAGCAGCCGCAGCCCGCCGUCGACUAGCCACACUGCCCGCAAGAGAACUUGGGGCCCUGCAGCGCUCGGGCCGUGCCUGGCAUCCGCCUCCCCGGCGACUCCUCUGACGAGGAAUAGCGCGGCUGGAAUUCCUCCCGUCGCCCGUGAUGCGGGCGACCGGCCGUAGGUGCCUCCGAGGAACAGCGCGGCUGGAGUCCCUCCGGUCUUGGUCAUGUGGAUUAGG
RNAcentral lists this ribosomal RNA (984 nucleotides) under Triticum aestivum (bread wheat). RNAcentral describes it as "partial small subunit ribosomal RNA". Lineage: Eukaryota; Viridiplantae; Streptophyta; Magnoliopsida; Poales; Poaceae. The record is from RNAcentral.